Molecule: long non-coding RNA, 2279 nt
Organism: Hippopotamus amphibius kiboko
Lineage: Eukaryota; Metazoa; Chordata; Mammalia; Artiodactyla; Hippopotamidae
Exons: 2
Source: RefSeq, a predicted model, not a curated record
GUCGCCGGCGUUUGGCGCCCGCGCAGCCUAGGCCGCUCGCGCCGGAGAGGAAGUCCGGCCGCGGCGGGGCUGGGCCGGCUCGGGGCCUGGCUCCGUCGGGGAGCGCUCCACCCCCCCACCCGCGCGCCGGAUCCCAGGGUGUUGUUCCUCAGAAUGGGAGAAGAUACUUGCCAAUGAAGCAACUGACAAAGGAUUAAUCUCCAAAAUAUAUAAGCAGCUCAUGCAGCUUAAUACCAAAAGAGCAAAUAACCCAAUCCACAAAUGGGCGGAAGGCCUAAAUAGGCAUUUCUCCAAAGAAGACAUGCAGAUGGCUAACAAACACAUGAAAAGAUGCUCAGCAUCACUAAUCAUUAGGAAAAUGCAAGUCAAAGCCACAGUGAGGUAUCACCUCACAAAGGUCAGAAUGGCCAUCAUCAAAAAAUCUAGAAACAACAAAUGUUGGAGAGGGUAUGGAGAAAAGGGAACUCUCCUGCACUGUUGGUGGGAAUGUAAGUUGGUACAGCCACUGUGGAAAACAGUAUGGAGGUUCCUUAAAAAACUAAAAGUGGAACUACCAUGUGAUCCAGUAAUCCCAUUCCUGGGCAUAUACCCAGAGAAAACCAUAAUUCAAAAAGAAACGUACCAUAAUGUUCAUUGCAGCACUAUUUACAAUAGCCAGGACAUGGAAGCAACCUAAAUGCCUAUCAACAGAUGAAUGGAUAAGGAAGAUGUGGCACAUAUAUACAAUGAAAUAUUACUCAGCCAUAAAAAGGAAUGAAAUUGAGCUAUAUGUAAUGAGGUGGAUAGACCUAGAGUCUGUCAUACAGAGCGAAGUGAGCCAGAAAGAGAAAAACAAAUAUUGUAUAUUAACACAUAUGCGGACUAUAGAAAAAUGGUACAAAUCAACCAGUUUACAGGGCAGAAAUAGAGACAGAUGUAGAGAACAAACAUAUGGACACCAAGUGUGGAAAGCAGGGAGGGUUGGGGGGGAAUGAGUUGGGAGAUUGGGAUACCAAAUAGUACACUCCAAAUAUAUGCAGUUUAUUGUCUGUUAACUGUAUCUCAAUAAAAGUUCUUAAAAAAUAAAAAAACCCAACAAAUACCGUAUGCUAACUCAUAUAUGGAAUCUAAAAAAAUGGUACUGAUGAACUCAGUGACAGGUUAAGAAUAAAGAUGCAGUUGCAGAGAAUGGACUGGAGGACACAGGGUUGGGGGUGGGGCCAAGGGGAAGCUGGGACGAAGUGAGAGAGUAGCUUUGACAUGUAUACACCACCAACUGUAAAAUAGAUAGCUAGUGGGAAGUUGCUGUAUAACAAAGGGAGAUCAACCUGAUGAUGGUGAUGCCUUAGAGGGCCAGGACAGGGAGGGUAGGAGGGAGCCGCGGGAGGGAGGAGAUAUGGGGAUAUAUGUAUAAAUACAGCUGAUUCGCUUUGGUGUACCUCAAAAACUGGUACAAGAGUGUAAAGCAAUUAUAUACCAAUAAAGAGCUUUAAAAAAAUAAAAUAGUGUUGUUAUUGGAAGCAAAUGAGAUAAUACAUGGGAAGCACCUACAUUAGUACCUGAUACAUAGUGAGCUUUCAUUACAUGGUCUUCAUUGUUAUGCCCCAGUAUAAGGUUUAUAUUCUGUUUGCUACCUGCUAAAAUUUUUAGAAAGCUAUUUAUGGACAUCCCUAGUGGCACAGUGAUUAAGAAUCCAUCUGCCAAUGCAGGGGACACAGGUUUGAGCCCUAGUUUGGGAAGAUCCCACAUGCCAUGGAGCAACAAAGCCUGGGUGUCACAACUACUGAGCCCACGUGCUGCAACUACUGAAGUCCGCAAGCCUAGAGCCCGUGCUUCACAAGAGAAGCCACCACACUGAGAAGCCUGAGCACCACAGCGAAGAGUAGCCCCCGGACUCCACAACUAGAGAAAGCCCGCACACAGCAAUGAAGACUCCAAAAUUUAUUUUAAAAGAAAGCUGUGUUAAAAAAACAACUAUAUAGAUGUGUGAGUAUAGGCAUAGCAAAAAGUGAAUUAAAAAUGUAUCAAAAUGUUAAAACUAUCUUUUGUUGGUGGAGUAAUAGACUGUUUUUCUCUUCUUUCUUACAAGGUUCAGUAUUUUAUAAAUAUUUUACACAAAGAAUGUGUUAUUAUUAAAUGUAAGCUCCAUAAAGACUGAUAUAUUUUUUGUUGUUAUGUAUUUGAAGUGCCCAGAAUAGUCUUACAUAUAGUAGAUGCUUAAUAAAUAAUUUUAAAUGAAUCUUUAUAAUGUAAAAAAUAAAAUGAAAAGGAAUAAAUGUAUUAAAAUUCCAUUUCUUGCC